CCGACCUUAACUCAGUUGGUAGAGCGGAGGACUGUAGUUGUUGAAUGACCAGGCAGUUUGAUUUGAUCCUUAGGUCGCAGGUUCGAAUCCGGCAGGUCGGA
Molecule: transfer RNA, 101 nt
Filed under: Nicotiana sylvestris (wood tobacco)
Lineage: Eukaryota; Viridiplantae; Streptophyta; Magnoliopsida; Solanales; Solanaceae
Also listed under: 1 other name
Rfam family: tRNA
About the family: Transfer RNA (tRNA) molecules are approximately 80 nucleotides in length. Their secondary structure includes four short double-helical elements and three loops (D, anti-codon, and T loops).
Source: Rfam by way of RNAcentral